UACGGAGGGUGCAAGCGUUAAUCGGAAUUACUGGGCGUAAAGCGUGCGCAGGCGGUUUGUUAAGUCCGUUGUGAAAGCCCCGAGCUCAACUUGGGAAUUGCAGUGGAUACUGGCAGGCUGGAGUACGGUAGAGGAAGGUGGAAUUCCCGGUGUAGCAGUGAAAUGCGUAGAUAUCAAGUGGAACACCAGUGGCGAAGGCGAGUCUCUGGACAUUUCCUGACGCUGAGGCACGAAAGCCAGGGGAGCAAACAGG
RNAcentral lists this ribosomal RNA (253 nucleotides) under uncultured bacterium. Its description in RNAcentral is "partial 16S ribosomal RNA". It matches the Rfam family "Bacterial small subunit ribosomal RNA", at positions 524 to 776 of the family's 1533-position model. The record is from RNAcentral.